Molecule: ribosomal RNA, 253 nt
Filed under: uncultured bacterium
Lineage: Bacteria
Description: partial 16S ribosomal RNA
Rfam family: Bacterial small subunit ribosomal RNA
Source: RNAcentral
UACGUAGGGGGCAAGCGUUGUCCGGAUUUAUUGGGCGUAAAGAGCGUGUAGGCGGCUUGGAAGGUCAGCUGUGAAAACUCGAGGCUCAACCUCGAGACGUCGGUUGAAACCACCUGGCUAGAGUCCGGAAGAGGAGAGUGGAAUUCCCGGUGUAGCGGUGAAAUGCGCAGAUAUCGGGAAGAACACCCGUGGCGAAGGCGGCUCUCUGGGACGGUACUGACGCCGAGACGCGAAAGCGUGGGGAGCGAACAGG